UACGUAGGGGGCAAGCGUUGUCCGGAUUUAUUGGGCGUAAAGAGCGUGUAGGCGGCCAGGUAGGUCAGCUGUGAAAACUCGAGGCUCAACCUCGAGAUGUCGGCUGAAACCAUCUGGCUAGAGUCCGGAAGAGGAGAAUGGAAUUCCCGGUGUAGCGGUGAAAUGCGCAGAUAUCGGGAAGAACACCGGUGGCGAAGGCGGGUCUCUGGGCCGAUACUGACGCUGAGGAGCGAAAGCGUGGGGAGCGAACAGG
This 253-nucleotide ribosomal RNA is filed under the name uncultured bacterium. RNAcentral's name for it is "partial 16S ribosomal RNA". It matches the Rfam family "Bacterial small subunit ribosomal RNA", at positions 524 to 776 of the family's 1533-position model. The record is from RNAcentral.